CCUGACAUGGAUUAUAACUGUACUUGAUGGAGCACAGUUAUAAUAGCUGCUUUAGAGUCCUUGAUAAUUCCCACAUCUGAAUCAUCUCGAGUUAUUUUUGGCAGAUUUUGAUGGAUGUACAUUGAUGGAUAGCCACAUGGAUCCAGAAAAUAAAGACUUCUACUCUGCAUAUUGACUAAAGCAGAAGAUAUGCAGGGAAGCUCAGUCUCUCAAUUGAGUGGAUUCUGAAAUUUAUCCUGUUGUCUUCAGCUACUAAGGCUAAUUUGCAAAUCACACUGUGUACGGAAUGUGUGUGUCCCACCCCUGCAGUACUUCAGCAUUCUGAGGUAACAAGACAGUUGGCUUACUGCAUCUUAGAAAGGCUUAUUGAUUUUGUUAUUGCUACAGCUAUCAUGGGAGCAGAGGCAGCAAUUUCUCAAGCCUAGUUCCAAAAGGAUUAAACCUGACCAAGAUUUAUAAACAACCUGUUCAGUGGCUGCUGAUUAACUCCCAAAGAUUGAUGUACUGAAGAAGAAUGACCUCCCCCUUGACACCAAUGCUACUAGUCAAUAACAACCACUGUGACUCAGAACAAAUUCUCUG
Molecule: long non-coding RNA, 582 nt
Filed under: Pan troglodytes (chimpanzee)
Lineage: Eukaryota; Metazoa; Chordata; Mammalia; Primates; Hominidae
Description: lincRNA
Source: RNAcentral